RNAcentral lists this ribosomal RNA (397 nucleotides) under uncultured bacterium. Its description in RNAcentral is "partial 16S ribosomal RNA". It matches the Rfam family "Bacterial small subunit ribosomal RNA", at positions 523 to 918 of the family's 1533-position model. The record is from RNAcentral.
AUACGUAGGUGACAAGCGUUAUCCGGAUUUACUGGGCGUAAAGGGCGUGUAGGCGGUCUUGCAAGUCAGAAGUGAAAUUCCUGAGCUCAACUCGGGCGCUGCUUCUGAAACUGCAGGACUUGAGUGCUGGAGGGGAUAGCGGAAUUCCUAGUGGAGCGGUAAAAUGCGCAGAUAUUAGGAAGAACACCGGUGGCGAAGGCGGCUAUCUGGACAUUAACUGACGCUGAGGCGCGAAAGCGUGGGGAGCAAACAGGAUUAGAUGCCCUGGUAGUCCACGCCGUAAACGAUGAAUACUAGGUGUAGGGGGUAUCGACUCCCUCUGUGCCGCAGUUAACACAAUAAGUAUUCCGCCUGGGGAGUACGGCCGCAAGGUUGAAACUCAAAUGAAUUGACGGGG